Triticum urartu is the source of this 139-nucleotide non-coding RNA. NCBI's taxonomy places the organism in Eukaryota, Viridiplantae, Streptophyta, Magnoliopsida, Poales, Poaceae. The record is from Rfam.
AUGAUACCCCCUCCCCCCUCCUCGAAAUUCUUGUCUUAGAUUUGUCUAGGUACGGAUGUACCUAAUACUAAAACAUGACUUGAUACAUCUGUAUUUAGACAAAUCUAAAACAAGAAUUUUGGGACGGAGGGAGUAGAAC